CCUUGCCAGCCCGCUCAGAAACUUAAUGAAUUGACGGGGCCCGCACAAGCGGUGGAGUAUGUGGUUUAAUUCGAUGCAACGCGAAGAACCUUACCUGGUCUUGACAUCCCGGAGACCCUUAGGAAACUAGGGGGUGCUUCCAUCUGGAAGAAUCUGGAGACAGGUGCUGCAUGGCUGUCGUCAGCUCGUGUCGUGAGAUGUUGGGUUAAGUCCCGCAACGAGCGCAACCCUUGCCUUUAGUUGCCAGCAGUUCGGCUGGGCACUCUAAAGGGACUGCCGGUGUUAAACCGGAGGAAGGUGGGGAUGACGUCAAGUCCUCAUGGCCUUUAUGACCAGGGCGACACACGUGCUACAAUGGCCGGCACAGCGGGAAGCGGAGGGGCGACCCUGAGCGGAUCCCUUGAAAGCCGGUCCCAGUUCGGAUUGCAGUCUGCAACUCGACUGCAUGAAGUUGGAAUCGCUAGUAAUCGCGGAUCAGCCAAGCCGCGGUGAAUACGUUCCCGGGCCUU
Molecule: ribosomal RNA, 509 nt
Filed under: uncultured Desulfobulbus sp.
Lineage: Bacteria; Pseudomonadati; Thermodesulfobacteriota; Desulfobulbia; Desulfobulbales; Desulfobulbaceae
Description: bacterial SSU rRNA
Rfam family: Bacterial small subunit ribosomal RNA
Source: RNAcentral